Molecule: small nuclear RNA, 164 nt
Filed under: Cricetulus griseus (Chinese hamster)
Lineage: Eukaryota; Metazoa; Chordata; Mammalia; Rodentia; Cricetidae
Description: U1 spliceosomal RNA
Source: RNAcentral
CAGGGGAGAGCGCGAACGCAGCCCCCCACUACCACAAAUUAUGCAGUCGAGUUUCCCGCAUUUGGGGAAAUCGCAGGGGUCAGCACAUCCGGAGUGCAAUGGAUAAGCCUCGCCCUGGGAAAGCCACCUUCGUGAUCAUGGAAUCUCCCCUGCCAGGUAAGGAU